This is a long non-coding RNA of Scylla paramamosain (green mud crab), 2509 nucleotides long. RefSeq lists it as uncharacterized. The transcript has 5 exons. The record is from RefSeq and is a predicted model, not a curated record. NCBI's taxonomy places the organism in Eukaryota, Metazoa, Arthropoda, Malacostraca, Decapoda, Portunidae.
AUUAAUUCCUCACAAAGAAGCAAAAAUAUAUAUACCGGUCUCGCUACCUAUUUUUGAUGACUAAGUUCAUACCACUUCAAUAAGACUGCUAUUUUUGGUGCGACUUGUGGCAGCAGUAUACCCACGUCACACAAACUUGUUGAGUCUGAGCUCCGUUAAGUCAGAAGGACGGUGGCGGCGGCGGCGGGAGAAGAGGAGAUUGAGCCGGGUGAUUUCACCACGUCCUUCAAAACUACAGGUAAGGAAGAGAUGGAACAACACUCAUCAGCUGUGUGACAGCAAUUUCAAAGUGAGCCUCAAAGAAAGAGGCUGACUUGGCUGCUGAUGGCUUCAGUAUGUGCACUCUUCCAAGGUGAGGAGCUGCUGGGGUGUGGUGCAACCUCGGAACAUUGUGGCGACCGGCUGGUGCUGACAAGUGUGGUGGGGUAGGGGAACCCACACCCUCCCCAAGGUGGCGCUGGGAGGCAAGGGAGGUGGCAACAGCAGCCAAGUUCAGUAAUGCAUCAGCACCCUCAACCAGUUGCCUCAUGUCUGCUUGGGAUGCUUCACUGGAAACAUGGAUAAAAGACACUGAUAUCAUGAGGAGAACAGUGAUUUUAUUAGCCUAACCAACACUUCCUUCUGUUAUCUGUUGAAGACUUACCUGGCCACAUCACUGUCAUAAGAGUCAUCAGAGAAGGCUUCAUCCACACUAGAGAGAGAUGUGUCCUUGCCAUCCCUCAGCUGAGAGUAGGAUUCUGUAACAGCAGCAAGAGGGUCAUAUUAUAUUUGAAUAUGAAACAUGGAGUGUCAGACUACACCAAAAAAUCAAGGUAAAGUCACUAUUAAACGGGUAUUAUUUGUACCAUGAAAAAUCUGUGCCUCCAUCAGCAUAAUUUUCCUUGUGUAAUAAUACCUUAUAUACAAUAUCACAAACUUUAUAAUCAUGGUUUACACUAUUCACUUAUUACAUUAAUUCUUCUUUCUACUGUGUCAGCCUUUGCUUAAUAAUGACAGUAAGUCAAUGCUUACCCAUUAAAAACCCUAGCUAAUUUUUAUCCCACAAUAUAAGCAUACUGAUGAUAAUUUUACCCUCAUUUUCACACUACACAUACAUUCCCAGCUCCUACUCGUAAUACCAGCUAAACAAACCAGUCCUAAUCUAUAACAAACCAUAUAUCACAAAAGAUAUCCCACUACUCUCUAUCCACAUCCUCACCCAACACUUCAUCAUUGACUGCAUGAUAAUAAAUGCUCAUCUCAAACUUUCACCACUCCACUACUUACCACUUGCUGGAGUCACAAUACGGGAGCCAUGCUUGAGGGCCAACAUAGCUGCUGCUGCAUCUACAUCCUCACUAUGAACUCCAGAGCCCACCACCUCCAUCCCCAAAGUCCCAGGCCCCGUGGAGCCCAGGCGCCGUGCCAAGUAUGGGAACAGUUCAGGGUCUGGCACAUUGGCCCCAGCUGGCUUGGUGGGACUUGCUGCAGGGCUCUCCACAGGUACACUUGCCCGUCCUGUUCCACUCUGUCCACUUGCCCCUUCCCCAACCUGCCUGCUGGGAGAGUAAUGUGUUAGAUACUUGGCAAGAGAAAAUUGGUAUGACAAAAUUUGACAGUUAACAACUCUUGUGUUAUCAUGUGUACUCUACUUAUGUAAAAUAUUCAUUGCAAUUCAGUGCAAAAUGUAGAAAAAAUGUAUGAAUCUAUAACUUUAUUCAUUGCAAUUCAGUGCAAAAUGUAGAAAAAAUGUAUGAAUCUAUAACUUUACAACUUGUGUGUGAUCCAUCCCUGCUACAAGUAGCCUAACCUCAAUCUUUAUCUACUUUUUGGAAGAUUUCUAACACUACAAAGCUUGAAAAGUCUGACCACUGCCUGGUGGUCAAACUUACUUAUUGUAGGCAGCCUUGGUGGAUACCAGGUAGAUGCGGUCCAGGUUGGAGUAUGGGUGGAAGGGAGUCUUGCUGAGGGCCUGCAGGAGAUUUGGACGGUAGGCGGGGUCCACCAUCCAUAAGGAGCCCUUGCCAAGGUUCUGAAACAAAUGGAUGACAUCAGAACUAUACAAAGGAAAACUGGAAAACUAAUAUUAUCAAUGAAGAAGUAUUUCAUGUCUUGUAUCUUUGUGGUGGAGAGACCUGAGUGCAGCGUGUAAAGCAAAAAAUAGAUUGCCUAUGAAAUGAGACCUUGCACUGGACAAUGUGCUUACAUUUUUCAUUCAUUAUUCUACACAUUUGGUGCAUCUUAUCUGAUUGUCAAAAUAGUGAGAGACCUUCCUCUAAGAGUAACUGCUGUCUGUCUUAAUGUGAUUUGUCGUAGCUUUAUAUAUUCUUCAGUACUGUUUGCUCAUCGACAUUAUCAGACAAAUGUAUGCUUCAGUUUUAUCUUUAAAUUCAUCACAAGAAUCUAACUGUAACCAAUUCCAUAAUUUACUGAAUUGUUAAAAUAAAUAUUCCAUAAUUUACUGAAUUGUUAAAAUAAAUAAAUAUACAUCUUUUAUCUUGUAGUUAAACCAAUUAUAAGAGCAUUCAAA